CCCGCACAAGCAGCGGAGCGUGUGGUUUAAUUCGAUGCAACACGAAGAACCUCACCAAGACUUGACAUGUUGGUAGUAGAACCUCGAAAGGGGACGAUCUUGAGCAAUCAAGAAGCCAUCACAGGUGCUGCAUGGCUGUCGUCAGCUCGUGUCGUGAGAUGUUGGGUUAAGUCCCGCAACGAGCGCAACCCUUGUCAUUAGUUGCUACGAAAGGGCACUCUAAUGAGACUGCCGGUGACAAACCGGAGGAAGGUGGGGAUGACGUCAAGUCCUCAUGGCCUUUAUGACCAGGGCUACACACGUACUACAAUGGCCGGUACAAAGGGCAGCCACUUAGCGAUAAGGAGCCAAUCCCGUAAAGCCGGUCUCAGUCCGGAUUGGAGUCUGCAACUCGACUCCAUGAAGUUGGAAUCGCUAGUAAUCGCAGAUCAGCACGCUGCGGUGAAUACGUUCCCGGGCCUU
RNAcentral lists this ribosomal RNA (462 nucleotides) under uncultured Desulfocapsa sp. RNAcentral's name for it is "bacterial SSU rRNA". It matches the Rfam family "Bacterial small subunit ribosomal RNA", at positions 920 to 1382 of the family's 1533-position model. The record is from RNAcentral. Lineage: Bacteria; Pseudomonadati; Thermodesulfobacteriota; Desulfobulbia; Desulfobulbales; Desulfocapsaceae.